CAGUUCUGAAAGUAAGAACUAAAAGGUUGAAUGUGCCUGGCUCUUUCUCUUCCAGAAACUGUUGGAGACAAGCUCACAACUGUGUCUAAACUAAUAUCCAAGUGAAGUGGAUGCAAGGAUUUGAGAAGAGUCCUGACCUCACAGCAGCUGGACCAUGAUGCCAGCACUGCUGGCAUUGGGGUGACAAAACAUUUUCUCAGUAACUGGUAUAAGCAAGAUCUAUCCUGUGCUCUUCUCCAGCAUUCUGUUCCCAACUGAGUGUCUUAUCUGACUAGGAAGUAAGCAGUCUCUCAAGAUUUUGCAAACUUAUGAAAAUAAUGAGUUUUCAAAGAAGAUGCUGUGAGCUGAUGUCCCAAUUCUCCUGCAGCCAAUACAAAUUCUGGGCCAGUGAGUAAAAAAAAAGUGAAUAAAUGCAUUCCCUCUGCAAGUCUAAGAGUCUGUGAAGCCAGAGGUCCUACUGAUACCUCAGUCCUUGAAGAUAAAUGCUUUGGUUUAAAAUGUUUGAUUAUUGAGGAUACUUUGGAGAACCUGAAGAAUGAAUGUGGGCACCUUCCAUACCAAGGGAUUAAGUGAUGGACCUUACUGAGUCG
This 590-nucleotide long non-coding RNA is filed under the name Cyanistes caeruleus (blue tit). RNAcentral's name for it is "lncRNA (ENSCCEG00000002275.1)". The record is from RNAcentral. Lineage: Eukaryota; Metazoa; Chordata; Aves; Passeriformes; Paridae.